RNAcentral lists this ribosomal RNA (1860 nucleotides) under Triticum aestivum (bread wheat). Its description in RNAcentral is "partial small subunit ribosomal RNA". Lineage: Eukaryota; Viridiplantae; Streptophyta; Magnoliopsida; Poales; Poaceae. The record is from RNAcentral.
AUGAUGCUGAUGAGGCCGCGGUUCCUCUCCCCCUCGCCGCCCUCCUCCCGCCGCGAGCCCCGCCUCCGCACCCUCUCCGAGGCUUCCAGAGUCUCCUCGUCCUCCUACCCCUCCUCCGCCCGCCCUCCCGGCCCCGGCCCCCGCCCCUCCUCCAACAAGCGCCCGCCGCCCAACCUCCGCCGUCUCACCGCCCGCAUCGUGGACCUCACCCGCCGCAGGCAGCUAGCCCAGAUCAUGGCGGAGGUGGAGGCGUCCAAGCGGCGCGCGCGCUCAGGAAGGGGAGGGGGUGUCAACAUCAUCGUGAUGAACGCCGUGCUGGAGGCCUGCGUGAGCUGCGGCGACGUCGACCUCGCGGUCCAGCUCUUCGACGAAAUGCGCGGGCCCAUGGGGUGUGGUGUCGACGGCGUCUCGUACGGCAUCCUGCUCAAGGGUCUGGGAAUAGCUAGAAGGAUUGAUGAAGCUUUCGAGAUACUGGAAUCAGUUGAGAAAGAUACUUCUGAUGGGAGCCCCCGGCUCUCUCCUCAUCUUAUAUGUGGUUUUCUAAACGCCCUUAUCGAAGCAGGAGAUAUGAGGCGUGCCAAUGCUCUCGUUGCUCGUUUUCGCCAAGUCCUUUACGAAGGACAGUCGGUGUUACUAUACAACUUACUGAUGAAGGGAUACAUAAAAAGCAACUUCCCUCUUGGAGCGUUAACUGUUAAAGAUGAGAUCUUGCGUCAAGGAUUGAAGCCUGAUAGAUUGACGUACAACACCAUCAUUUUUGCAUGUGUAAAAUCGGCAGAGAUUGAGAAGGCUUUCCAAUUUCUUGAAGAUAUGAAGGAUGAAGCUAAAAGGGAUGAUAAUCCUGAACUCCUCCCGGAUGCUGUUACCUACACAACAUUACUUAAGGGUUUAGGAAAUAGCCAAGAUCUUUAUUCAGUUCUGAAGAUUGUGGUGGAGAUGAAAUCAUCACUUGUUUCAAUUGACAGGACUGCAUACACAGCUAUGGCAGAUGCCUUUCUAGCUUGCGGGUCCAUUGACGGGGCUCUUUGCAUUUUUGGUGAGAUAAUAAAGCAGGCUGGCGACAACAAAGACUUGAGGCCCAAACCUCAUCUUUAUCUUUCAAUCAUGAGAGCUUUUGCUACUAUAGGUGAUUUUGAUAUGGUAAGGAGAUUGAAAGAACGCAUGUGGCCAGAUUCAGUUGGAUCCAUUAGCCGUUCAGCUAAACAAGAGGCAGAUGAGCUAUUAAUGGAAGCUGCUAUAAAUAACAAUGAGGUAGAUGUGGCUAGAAGACUUCUCAGAAGAAUAGUUAACGGGAAGGAGCAUUUCUCUUGGAGAAGUAGAGUAGGCCUGGUGGCACUCAAAGUUGAAACGCUAUCUGGAUUCACCAACUCUCCUCUUAGACCACAUGUAUUUCCACAGAUUCUCUUGAAUGAUCCUGUUGAGAAGUAUAUGAUUCCAUUUCGAGAAAGUCGACCGUUAGGUGCCGACUUGAUCUUGGAAAAUGUUGCGAUGCGAUUCUUGAAAGACUCUGCAGUUCCUCUUGUGAAUGACUGGGGAAGUUGUGUUGGAAUAGUUCACAGCCGCGAUUGUACCAAGAUGGACUCGCCUCUUCUUUCAAUGGCGAGGCCACCACUGUGCGUGCCUUGUUCAACCUCGCUGGAGCACGUGAUUGAUCUCCUCCUCAGAGAGAAGUGCGAGAUGGUGAUCGUGGUGAAGAGCGGCAACAUGUAUGAAGGCAGCUACACAUCCAGCUCAAGGCCACUGGGCGUUUUCUCCCUCGGUAUCCUGUCGGAGGCUACCACCAACACGGCAAACACCCACGACGAGUGCGUCUCCGGGGCAGCACCCGGCCAGGACCCUGAAGCCCGCGGCCGUGGCUGA